AGUUGUUUGUUGUUGUUAUCUGUUGGGCUGGAUGCUGGUAUGUUUACGGUUAAAAAAAAAGCAACAUACUUUCAAAGGACUCAAAGGCUCUUGACUGCACACCCCAAUGUUCAUCCUAGUGAGUAUGAAGACUUGCUAAGGAGAACAUGAAAAAGUUCCUUAUCUGCUUUGGGCAGCACCAUUUCCAGCUGAGCUCCCAGAAGGCUGUGGAAGAUAACAUGGGAACUGAUGUUUCUAGAAGGCUAGUAGAAUCAUUGACUCAUGGAGUAAUAGAACUGGAAACUUGGAAGGAACCCCAAGGGUCACUGAAUGCAACCUUUGCCAAAGCAGGAUAUGCAGUAAGACAGACAGUAUCAGAGCUUGGCAAAACUUUUCUGGACUAGAGAUUCCAUUAUUGUUCAACCAACAUCAGUUCAGUUCAUCAUUGCUUUCUAAGUAUUACACCAUCUGCAGGCAUCUCUGCAUUUCUCAGCUCUCUGCAAAACCAAAAGAAUCAGGUUAAUUGUGAAUUGCAACAUUUAUCCAUGAGAAGAUGAGUUUUUAAUGAAUACAUUUAUGAGCUCCUGUCAAACUAUGGAUGGCUUCAUUUAUUGGUUAAUCACACUGAUAGGUUACUUUUUCACACACACGCACACACACAAAAACAAUGUCUGCUUGUUUUGUCUUGUAUCUCCAGUUUAGUAACAGGUAGACUGCCUUGAGGAAGGAAGGAAGGAAGGCUUUGAAGGUAGAUCAGCUGAGAGAUGGGGUAAAACUCAGCCAGAUGUUUUAAAUUAUUUUAUAUUUUAUACACGUGUUUAGUGUUAAAUGUAUUUUCUCCAAAACACACAUAUCUAGAUUUGUUUGGGUCAAACAUGUUUUUCUAAAUGUAUUUUAUCUCAAAACAUGGAUAUAAAAACAUAAU
Non-coding RNA from Pogona vitticeps (central bearded dragon), 904 nucleotides. NCBI's taxonomy places the organism in Eukaryota, Metazoa, Chordata, Lepidosauria, Squamata, Agamidae. The record is from RefSeq and is a predicted model, not a curated record.